Molecule: ribosomal RNA, 676 nt
Filed under: uncultured Brevundimonas sp.
Lineage: Bacteria; Pseudomonadati; Pseudomonadota; Alphaproteobacteria; Caulobacterales; Caulobacteraceae
Description: bacterial SSU rRNA
Rfam family: Bacterial small subunit ribosomal RNA
Source: RNAcentral
CGUGGCGGCGACUACCAUGCAAGUCGAACGGACCCUUCGGGGUUAGUGGCGGACGGGUGAGUAACACGUGGGAACGUGCCUUUAGGUUCGGAAUAGCUCCUGGAAACGGGUGGUAAUGCCGAAUGUGCCCUUCGGGGGAAAGAUUUAUCGCCUUUAGAGCGGCCCGCGUCUGAUUAGCUAGUUGGUGAGGUAACGGCUCACCAAGGCGACGAUCAGUAGCUGGUCUGAGAGGAUGACCAGCCACACUGGGACUGAGACACGGCCCAGACUCCUACGGGAGGCAGCAGUGGGGAAUCUUGCGCAAUGGGCGAAAGCCUGACGCAGCCAUGCCGCGUGAAUGAUGAAGGUCUUAGGAUUGUAAAAUUCUUUCACCGGGGACGAUAAUGACGGUACCCGGAGAAGAAGCCCCGGCUAACUUCGUGCCAGCAGCCGCGGUAAUACGAAGGGGGCUAGCGUUGCUCGGAAUUACUGGGCGUAAAGGGCGCGUAGGCGGAUCGUUAAGUCAGAGGUGAAAUCCCAGGGCUCAACCCUGGAACUGCCUUUGAUACUGGCGAUCUUGAGUGUGAGAGAGGUAUGUGGAACUCCGAGUGUAGAGGUGAAAUUCGUAGAUAUGCGGAAGAACGCCAGUGGCAAGUGCGAUAUACUGUUUUUUUUUUUGACGCUUAGGCGCUAAGCG